This 226-nucleotide ribosomal RNA is filed under the name uncultured bacterium. RNAcentral describes it as "partial 16S ribosomal RNA". It matches the Rfam family "Bacterial small subunit ribosomal RNA", at positions 538 to 763 of the family's 1533-position model. The record is from RNAcentral.
GCGUUAUCCGGAUUUAUUGGGUUUAAAGGGUGCGUAGGCGGCCUGUUAAGUCAGGGGUGAAAGACGGUAGCUCAACUAUCGCAGUGCCCUUGAUACUGACGGGCUUGAAUAAACUAGAGGUAGGCGGAAUGAGACAAGUAGCGGUGAAAUGCAUAGAUAUGUCCCAGAACACCGAUUGCGAAGGCAGCUUACUAUGGUUUGAUUGACGCUGAGGCACGAAAGCGUG